AUUAUUGAAUACGAUUGGUACUGAUGCUGGCUCUUCACAGAGCAUGUGCUCGUUCCAUCUAUUUAUCUUCUCUUGUGCACAUUUUGUAGUCUUGAAUGAAACCCUUCGCAGUCAAUGCGGUUUGGGAGCUUGGGCGUCAGCCCUGCUCCUGCUUCUUCAAGGCUAUGUUUUCAUAUAUACACUAUAAAGUUACAGAAUGUCUUUUAACGAUUGCGCUUGUCGUAGUCAUUAAACCUUAUACAACUUUCAGCAACGGAUCUCUUGGCUCUCCUAUCGAUGAAGAACGCAGCGAAAUGCGAUAAGUAAUGUGAAUUGCAGAAUUCAGUGAAUCAUCGAAUCUUUGAACGCACCUUGCGCCCUUUGGUAUUCCGAAGGGCAUGCCUGUUUGAGUGUCAUUAAAUUAUCAACCUUGCUCGCUUUUACCGGCUUGAGUUAGGCUUGGAUGUGAGGGCUUGCUGGCUUCCUUCAGUGGAUGGUCUGCUCCCUUUAAAUGCAUUAGUGGGAUCUCUUGUGGACCGUCACUUGGUGUGAUAAUUAUCUACGCCAUCUUGACUUUGAAGCAAAACUUAUGGGAACCCGCUCAUAACCGUCUUCGGACAACCUUUGACAUUUUGACCUCAAAUCAGGUAGGACUACCCGCUGAACUUAAGCAUAUCAAUAAGCGGAGGAAAAGAAACUAACAAGGAUUCCCCUAGUAACUGCGAGUGAAGCGGGAAAAGCUCAAAUUAAAAUCUGGCGGU
Molecule: ribosomal RNA, 740 nt
Filed under: Mycena sp.
Lineage: Eukaryota; Fungi; Basidiomycota; Agaricomycetes; Agaricales; Mycenaceae
Description: eukaryotic LSU rRNA
Rfam family: 5.8S ribosomal RNA (bases 242-395)
Source: RNAcentral